RNAcentral lists this transfer RNA (89 nucleotides) under uncultured Conexibacteraceae bacterium. RNAcentral's name for it is "tRNA-Ala". The record is from RNAcentral. Lineage: Bacteria; Bacillati; Actinomycetota; Thermoleophilia; Solirubrobacterales; Conexibacteraceae.
CCCCGCCGUCGCGCAGGGUGCGCACGAGGUUCGCCGUCUCGGCGGUGACGUGCAGGCAGAGCCCGAUGUUCAGGCCAUCGAGCGGGCGC